CCAAAAAAUGACCAAAAAAAGGGGUGUCCCGUAAAGUAGAAAAGUUCCAUUUUUUUUAUUUAUAUUUUUUCAUUCUACCAUUCUUAACCAUGAAGUUGCAUCCAAUCCACGGACCACGAUUUAAGAUAUAUCACGGACACGGAUUAAUGCCCGGAAUUCAUGAGGCUAGUUUUUCAAGCUAGGAUAGCAAGAUAGAAUCAUCCACGGAACAGAAAACCCCUAUCAAGCAACCUGCUAGGUUAGAGAAAAAUGAUAAUGCUAAUGAACAAGUUUGCUCUUAUCACGAGGAGCAGGCAUUGCUGAAUAAUGAUUCAAAAGAUCAUCCUCGUCAUUUAAUUCCCGAGCUAUGCCGAUCAUUCUAUGACAGCGGCUGGGCUUCCAGAACAGGUGGUGGCAUAAGCAUUAAAUACAAAUGUGAAUGCGAUGAAUAUUUAUUCAACAUAACAACUUUCAUGAAGAUACGCAAUGUUUAAUCAAAUUAUACUCGUACAUUGGAGAGCAAUUAUUGGAAGCUUUUCAUUCUAUUAAGGAAGUGAUUUAUUUAAUUUUUUUCAACCUAAUAUAAAAAG
Molecule: long non-coding RNA, 569 nt
Organism: Metopolophium dirhodum (rose-grain aphid)
Lineage: Eukaryota; Metazoa; Arthropoda; Insecta; Hemiptera; Aphididae
Exons: 4
Source: RefSeq, a predicted model, not a curated record